RNA transcript from Bombus pascuorum, 7901 nucleotides. It is a transcript of the gene named forkhead box protein O-like, with no coding region annotated. The record is from RefSeq and is a predicted model, not a curated record. Lineage: Eukaryota; Metazoa; Arthropoda; Insecta; Hymenoptera; Apidae. The transcript has 8 exons.
UCAGUGAUCCUUCUUUCUCCGAUUCGUACCGUUGCUCGUCGUCUUAUCCUCGUCUCUCUCAAAUGCGCGGAGGCAGGCGCCACGAAUUCACUUCUCGUAACUUCGGCUUCGUUCGGUCAGUUCCGGCUGCCGGUCAGAAGAAUUCGUCAGUAUUCGCCGCGCUGCAUUGCCGGCAAGUUGUAUAAAGGAGUAAGGUGAUUUGAUUUUCAUAAGAAUAAAAGUGCGCGUGUCUAAUACAGAGAUACAUACGUUUAGAACAUAUUUGGAACGUUCAUGCCGUUCAUGAGAAUAUUCGCCACAUUCUAAAUAUAAACGAAUGUUGUUAGAACAAGUUCGAUCGUGCUCUCAAAAUACGAGAGGUCGAACGUUAGUGUCUGACGCUUUUAAAUCAUUUCGAUCUACUUGACUUCGAAGAAAAACGCACUGAACUGUCCAAAGUGUCUAUUCUGAAAAGGACCAGGAGAAUAGGACAGUCGAUUGGGACAUCGAUGAGAAGUAGGAAGCAAGGCACUCAUUUUGAAACACGGAGCAUAUCGAUAAUCGCUACUUCGAUCAUCGAAAUCGUGCCGACACACUUCGAAGAUCGUGCACGGAAACUGGCACGACACGAAUACUUGUCCCUCAACGCAAAAAGUUUUUGCAACUCUGUGUACAUAAAACCCGCCAGGCAACAAAGUCGAAGAUUCUCUCCUCGCAGUGGGCCAAGUUCUUUAUCAAAACAUGGCCACGUGACCGACGGCGCGGCUUGUAAACAGUGAGUUUGACCACGUGGUCUGCCCCCUCUCUCGUAAUCGCCUAUCUCUCUCAUCCUGCUUCUCUUUCUCAGUUUCUUUCUCGCUUACUCGCGACACGCAGAACAACGUACAUCGUAGCGUAUUCUCGGUCGGUCCGCUGCCAGCUGCGGGAGAGUUCGAUUCGAGUGAUCCGUGAUACUCUGCUUUUCCUCGCAGUUAGUUUACUUUCAUCUCGUUUUCUCCGAAAAUAACAAUAUAUCUUUCGAUAUUGUGCGUGCGAUAUCAUUCAUGUACUAUUUAUUUUAUUUCUGGUCGCGCGCCGGUAAGGGAAAUCAAGUGACAAAUCGUGAAUAUAAGAACACAGGGCUUAAUAAAAUAAAUAAAUAAAGGUGACCUCCCCCUGGUUCUGCUUUCGAUUUGUUAUUAACGACGUAGUGCUGUUAACCCAUAGAAGUGGCAGUGUUAGUGAUAUCGAUAGUUUCGAUCGCAGCGCGACCAUCGACUGUUACGGCGACUUUUCGCGAAUUCUUGGUAAGCAGCGCGAUAUUUGUGAACAGACACAGCACCUCGCGAGGUGCUCGGGAUCAAAGUGGAGUACACAGAGGAAACGAACAUGAUGGACUCGGUGCCGGUUUCUGCGUCGGGGUCGAAGACCGGGUUGCAACCACAGCAGGGGGUACCAUACGACCUUGAGAGCGGGUUUGAACCUCAGACGAGAGCACGGUCGCACACGUGGCCGCUGCCAAGACCGGAGGAAUAUAUCGAGGGAAACGUGGUGCCGAGCGUAGCGGCUAGCAAAGAGGGCGUCGAAGGCGUCGAAAGUGGCACACCGCCUCAGCAUGGCUCUCUCGGCCAAGGUACUGGCCUGCUUCCGGUCAAGAAGAAUUCGUCCCGACGAAACGCCUGGGGAAAUCACAGUUAUGCCGAUCUUAUUACUCAAGCCAUUACUAGCGCCCCCGACGAACGAUUGACGCUUUCACAGAUCUACGAAUGGAUGAUGCAGAAUAUACCAUACUUCAGGGAAAAGGGAGAAAGCAACAGUAGCGCUGGCUGGAAGAACUCCAUAAGACACAAUCUGUCAUUACACAGCAGAUUUAUGCGAGUGCAGAACGAGGGUACUGGGAAGAGUUCCUGGUGGAUGAUCAAUCGCGACGCGAAACCAGGCAAGUCGCGCAGAAGGGCAAUAACCAUGGAGACUAGCAAAUUUGAGAAACGACGUGGCAGGGUGAGGAAGAAGAUCGAGGCGCUAAGAAACGGGGGGUUGCAAACUGACGCAACGCCUAGCCCCAGUAAUAGCGUGAAUGAGGGGUUGGAUCUCUUCCCGGAUAGUCCUCUUCAACCUGGCAGUGGAUUUCAACUUUCACCUGAUUUUCGUCCUCGAGCUUCAAGCAAUGCCUCAUCCUGUGGUCGAUUAAGUCCAAUCCCGGCGAUCCCUGGGAAACCGGAAUGGACACCAACAUACACACCCUCUUAUAGCCCAGAACAAUUAGCCGGUAGCCUCGCGGAAACGAUGAAACUGGAAUCCUACCAAAUGUACCAAACAUCACCGUCCAGCCACCAGCAACAGACCGGACCGCCACCUUCCUAUUACGAGACCCAAUAUCAGAGAAGUAAUAGCCUGUCAACAGGAUCGUCCUCCUUUGCUUUGCAGCCAACUCCUCAAUCAGGAAAUCAGCAAAGAUGCCCGCUUCACGGUCUGCAACCGUGUGCCUGUCAAAUGAACUUGAGUCCAGUGGCUGGAAUGUCGCCGUCAUAUCAGCAGAGUGAACCAAGUCCCACGGCAUUAGGAAGCAAUCAGCAACAAACUCUUCAGUACAUGAUGCAGACACAACAGUGCCAGCAGCAACAACAGCAACAACAACAACAGCAACAACAACAGUCGCAAACCGGAGCAACGGGAUCCAGUCCACCGCAAACACCCACACCAUGUGGUUCAACACCGAGCACAAUGAUGGGACAAUUGAUGGGAGCUCUCAAUAAUUCGACGCUCCUUGACGAUUUGAACAUUAAUAUCGAAUCGUUACACGGUGGAUUCGAUUGUAAUGUGGAAGAGGUGAUCAAACACGAAUUGUCAAUGGACGGGACGUUAGACUUUAACUUCCAGCAAGGUGUGAUGGGCACGGCUGCGAUCCAAGUGAGCGACAGUAACGUUGGUCAGAACGGUACCGUGUCCCAAAACAACGUGGUUGGCACGACGGCCGGGAACGCGCCCGCAGGAGUUUACGUGAGCACCAACGCGGCGACUCCUGCUGCUUCUCCAUCUUGGGUUCACUAGCAGUGGACCCCACUGCCCUCGACACCCCCGUCGUCCUUGUCAUCGUCAUUACUAGACGGACAAGAGAAUUUCCACGGACAGCCCGAGGGACAGUUCAUCGAAAUCCCAUGUGUCGAGGACGAGCUGGAGGAUCGACGAGUACUUGUGAUAAGAUGUAGAAAUAAUUAUACCGGACCACAACCAAGAUAUGUACCAUACCAUCAAACGUACUUCAAAGAUGCCGAUUUACGCCUGUGCAACUGUGGUGCGAAAAGAACGCCGUAAAUCCGAUCAACAUCGGGGAGCAGACAAUGUCGUUUCGUUGCCACUAUUUUAUGCAACGAUUAGGUUGAAAUGAAACAUACCAAGAAAUUCGAGACUUCAAACAUCAAAUAGCAUGAGAUUUUGCCGAUUCGCAAUCCUAAAUCCCAGAUAUUUCUUCGUUCUAGCAUUUGGAUAGCGUUGAAUCGCAAAAUAUGCAAUUAUAAAAUACUUUUAAUCGUUCUUAUGAUCCUCUCAGAAAAAUACGUACGGUUUUUCUAUUUUCUGUUACAUUUUCCAUGCGAUAGUUAGAGUUUAAUGUUUUAUGACGAAAGGAAACAUAAUCAUGAUGUUAUCCGAGGAUGUACCAUAGAUGAAAAACGAUUGUAUUGCAUUUCAGUGAGGAAAAUGUAACCGGAAGUUGAGUCGAUGGAAUUCUUCUUAUGCUUGAAAAUUGAAUCAGCAUAGAAUUUACGGUUUGAGCCUUUAAAUUCUACAUUUGCGGGCACAGCCUAAUUUACUCAAAAAUUGAGGCAAACUAAAUCUAAAGAAACAUUUCGUAAUUAAGACUAUUGCUAGCUGACAAUUUCUGAAAUUUAAUCAAUGCAUCUAAAUUCAUUAUUUUCUUUUUAACUUCUUUUGAAAACAGAAUUGCUUCACUUGCUCAAAAUCUCUUCGCUUCACGAUGUUUUUGUAUAAUAUGAAUGCUUCUGUAUAAUGUGACCUCAAAAUUUGUUAUUAAGGAUAAAUUUAUAUGAAAUAAAAUAUUCCAGCACGAAUUCCACGGCACAUAUGUGUAUGUAUCUUCUACGAAAGAGAGAGAAAGAUCAUUUAUAUUCUGGAAGUCUAUCUUCUUAUUUCAAAAAGUAUGCAUCAAAAUGAAGAGCUUGGCCUAUGAUAAAUUCUUUCGCGCGAAUCGGCAUGAUUUCCGGAAUUUUUCACCAUUCGAGCUACCGGUGAACAAGCAACAUCCCGUCGACUUCUCUCGAUCGCUGGAGUAUUCCGAUCAGCUUCUCCAGAUCCUUCUUGUUUCCUUCCUCGUGACUUCCGCGCGAGUGCGUGUGCACGACCAGGAGAACCUGCGCCUGCAACCUGCAACUCAUGUCACGUGGCACGAAGAUCGUCGCGUGCUCCUCCGUUCGACGCUACACACGCAUGCUGCGAACUAGCGGCAACUCACAAAGGCGUUCGACUUCCGUCUCGGAUCUCUCGAUAGCCCGUAAUACGCACAGACAUUACACAUAAUCGUCUUAUGGUAGACAAAUCGGCGCUAUGGACAAAUCCACGAGAUUUCGUUUCUUCUCUUUUGUGUUCGUGUAUAUGUAUAGUUCGUAUAUAUAUAAUACAUACGCGCCGUUGGAUCGUGAUUCCCGUUCGCCAGUUUAUUUUUGCGAAUCCGCGACGAACGGUAGAAUCCGCGAGCGGCGAAUAAUAUACCACGUUGGGCCAGUUCACCAGAGUAAACGAAAAAUUCACUUGCACAUUUUCCACUUUUUUGCGUUUUUUCUUUUAUUUCUUGUUUAUUUUUCUCAUCAAAAAGACAUUCAAAAUCACUCGUAAUUUGUUUGCGUGGCUCCAAGUAAGUAAGAACCGAAAGGAAAAAAGGGAAAAAUGACGGACAGCUAAGAUAAUAAAAUGAGCGACGAAUGGACAAGACGUCUUUACCGACGUUUCGCCGUACGUACACGAUCUCUUUCCCUAUAGAAGCAACCUCAUGUGCACGAAGGCGCAUACUAUACAUAUAUAAAUAAAUAUAGAUAUAAGUAUAUUAUAUAUAAAUAAGUAAAUAUAAAUAUACAAUGAUACAUGAAUAUGAGAAAACGAAGGACACACAAUAUUAUUGUAUAUGUAACUAAAAUAUUUAAGAGAAACUGUGCGCGGAUAUCGCUACGAAUUCUAUGUUGCGAUAUAUAUGUAUGAUAUUUAUAUAUAUAACAGUAAUUAUAUAUAAUGUUAUAUAUAAAAAUAUAUAUAUAUAACACAUCAUACAUGUAUAUGAUAUUAUACAAGGAUAAAAAUAUAUUGAACAUAUUCUAUAGAAUAUUGUACGUUUGCUAAUGUUAUGUAUAGUAUACAAAAGAAAAAAAUAUAUAUAAUUAUGUGUAUAAUUAUAUAUAUAUAUAUAUAUAUAUAUAAUCUUUGCCUUUAUAUACAUAUAUAUAUAUAUAGGCAAAGAGAUAAGUACAUAGGUUAUGUAUAAGAUAUAGGUACAAUUAACGUUAAGUAAAAUGCUACAAGUAGAUAUGUCUAAAAGAAGGAUAAAGUUUUUAGUCAGAUGGUUAGAAAUCGAAGUUGACACGACGACGAAAGCUUAUUCUGCGUGGCUCCUUUUAAAUUUGUCGCGUCAUCUUACAAUAGAGGAACAGAAUGGAUAACACGUUGGUGCUUUUCGAUAGGUGAACGUUUCCUUUUCGUUUCUUUCAUCUUUUCUAUUUUUUUUUUUUUUUUUUUUUUUUUUAUGUAUUUUUUUGUCUGCAAAACAGUAAUCGUUAGAUCGAUGUGCUAUUUAGAUAAACAGGACUGACAGUAUCAUACACCGGCGCUGUUCUUCACAGACGGGCAUUUUAUGCUUUUAGUAAAAUAUUAAACAAAUUUUCCUAGAAAUCAGUGUAAAAGAUACGAAGAUGUACGAGUACUUCGAAAAUCGAGCAUAUUUGAUCGAAUAACCUUAAUCGUAUAAUUCGUAAGAGGAUUCCUAUCGAUCGUAUCAACGUUACUUGGUUAAGAUACAUUUCCAUCACUGUCAUCCGAAAUGUAUGCAUUUUUUGACAGUAUCAGCCCGACGAAUUAGAGGGUCCUGUACGAUGUUCCUCGAGGAUUGCGAUAAUCUUGUAGGCUGAUUAAAAAGAAGUGCGUGAGUCGAGAUCAGUGUCUUUUACUAUUGAAGAGCUUAGGUGAAUUUAGUAGACUUUAAUCGUCCGACGAUCGAACGAUACAAGAGCAGAUCUUCGGAACGUCGAAGAUCGCUAUUAAAUAGCUUUCAAAGUCUGUAAAGUACAUGGUGGCUACAUGUUAAGAGUAUCUCGAGUACUGUAGUGAAGAAGAAAGUCAAUUUUAUCAACAAAUAUGAUUAAGUCUAGGGUAACCUUUGCGUGUAUGUAUAAAACCAGUAGCAGACCCCGUUCGACUGAAAAACACGUUUGCUAUGGGGCUGGGUGACAAACGAGGUAAACCACUAACGACGACUGAUCAAUAAUUUUUGCUACUUUGAGUUUAUGCUCGUAAGCAUGCUUAUAUCAUUUUAAGUUCAGAUUUAUUCAUUAUUAAGCGAUUGGAUUGGAUGUUAUAGUGAAAGAGAAUAAAAUCCAUGUUCGUUUAUUAAUUAUUUUUUAUUUUUAUUCAGAAUUUCAUUAAACAAUUUUAAGCAAUCAGGUAGUUGAAAAAUGUUUUAUUCUUUAGAUGAUUAUGAGUUGGUUAUAAUAUAAUAAACGAUCGUCGUACAUGAAAUAUUUAUUAUUUUUCAAUGAUCAGAAAAUUUGAUGUUCUUUAAGUUAGUAACUGAAAUUAAAUUAUUUGUAACCAUAUAUCUGGAAUAUAAUGAAUAAAAAUUAUAAUAUUAAAUAGUUUGUUUCAUACGAAUAAUUUUUGUUAUAUUGCGACAAAAAAAAAUAAAAAAUUGAUUUUAAACCAUACAUUAGCAACAUGAACAUCAACCGAUAAAAGUGUCUUCAGUUCACUUGAAUUAAUUAUGAUUGCAUCAUUAGUACAAAACCCAAUCGAUAAACUUUUUAUUUUGUUGUACAUACUGUUGUAGACCAUUCUACAAUAUUAUAUAACAAUUUUACACUUUGAAUAUUGCAGGUUAUUGAUCCAAUGACUUUUCUUUCUUGUAUUACCAAUAACGUCUCACUUUUUUUCGAUUUAAAUACAGAACCUUACCGUAACUUCUACCCAUUGAUUAAUAUUGUUAGAAAUUCACAUCUGAGAUUAUUUUCUAUAAGAUCUGUUUAUGCAGACAAAAAUAUAAAAAUCUAAAGAAACGGUCCACGAACAUGAAUUUCGUGAUUGAAAAUAAGCUAUUUAAUUAUUACUUAAAUUACGCGAUUAACAUCAAUAGGCGACGUGUCCAAGGAUUCUUCAUUCGAUUAUAUAUUAUGUGUAAUAUAUAAUAUAUAUAGAAACUGCCAUUUACUAAGUGCAAUACGUAUGUACAAAAUGGAAGAGUCAGUCGACGUUUCCGUGUUACUAUACUCGAGAGUCACCGAUAGCACCGGUUUUCUUCUUCUGAGGGAGAACAGCGAAAAACGAGCUUCACCUACUGGCGUAAAUAUGUACGAAGCUAAUCGUAAGUGUUCAUAAAGUAAUUACGGGAUGGAGCUAAUCUUAUCGAGAAAACGAUACGUGUGACUAAGAAACAGUUACUAUUUAAUGGGAAGAACGCACGUUUCGGUUGCAGUGGCGUAUACAAUGAGCCUCCAACGUGAAAGAAAUGGAGAUCAUCAGUGAAAGUAGUUUGACAUUGGGAUCCAGAAUGUUCGUAAAGUUCAUUAUAACCUACCGCCAAAUACCCCUAAAUUAUUUUUCUCAUCUCGUCUAAUAGCAUUUCGUAUAUCACCUUACAAACAGUAAACUUGGUUUUAUAUUUUGAAAUUGGAAAUUAACACUUUCAGACUAAUAAUUUUCAAGUAUAUUUUAGAUUCUUUAAAGCUAUA